This 78-nucleotide microRNA precursor is filed under the name Schistosoma mattheei. Its description in RNAcentral is "mir-3492 microRNA precursor family". It matches the Rfam family "mir-3492 microRNA precursor family". Lineage: Eukaryota; Metazoa; Platyhelminthes; Trematoda; Strigeidida; Schistosomatidae. The record is from Rfam by way of RNAcentral.
AGCUUUUUGAAUCCGUACAGAGAUUUCGUCAGACACUAACCCACUAGGUCUGAUCAGACUUCCAAAAUAAGUGGAGUU